GACGAACGCUGGCGGUGUGCUUAACACAUGCAAGUCGAACGGUAAGGCCCUUUCGGGGGUACACGAGUGGCGAACGGGUGAGUAACACGUGAGUAACCUGCCCUCAUCCCUGGGAUAACAGUCGGAAACGGUUGCUAAUACUGGAUAUGAGCUUGCAAGGCAUCUUGUGGGUUGGAAAGAUUUUUUUGGUUGGGGAUGGACUCGCGGCCUAUCAGCUUGUUGGUGAGGUAGUGGCUCACCAAGGCUUCGACGGGUAGCCGGCCUGAGAGGGCGACCGGCCACAUUGGGACUGAGAUACGGCCCAAACUCCUACGGGAGGCAGCAGUGGGGAAUAUUGCACAAUGGACGGAAGUCUGAUGCAGCAACGCCGCGUGCGGGAUGACGGCCUUCGGGUUGUAAACCGCUUUCAAUUGUGACGAAGCUUUUUGUGACGGUAGCAGUAGAAGAAGCACCGGCUAACUACGUG
RNAcentral lists this ribosomal RNA (466 nucleotides) under uncultured bacterium. RNAcentral describes it as "partial 16S ribosomal RNA". It matches the Rfam family "Bacterial small subunit ribosomal RNA", at positions 28 to 507 of the family's 1533-position model. The record is from RNAcentral.